RNAcentral lists this unclassified non-coding RNA (192 nucleotides) under Mucor heterogamus. Its description in RNAcentral is "partial internal transcribed spacer 2". The record is from RNAcentral. Lineage: Eukaryota; Fungi; Mucoromycota; Mucoromycetes; Mucorales; Mucoraceae.
AACACCCCACAUUCAUUCAUUUGAGUGGAACUGAGAGUUCACGGUCUUUUUUUUUCAGACUGUACUCUUUAAAAUUAUUAGGCCUGAAAAUUGGAUUGUCUUUUUGCCUGAACAUUUUUUUAAUAUAAAGGAAUGCUCUUGUUUACAAACAACAUCUUUCUCUGGGGCCUCCCAGAUAAAAUCUAUUCUUAA